Molecule: ribosomal RNA, 155 nt
Filed under: uncultured bacterium
Lineage: Bacteria
Description: partial 16S ribosomal RNA
Rfam family: Bacterial small subunit ribosomal RNA
Source: RNAcentral
UAAGGAAUAUUGGUCAAUGGACAGAAGUCUGAACCAGCCAUGCCGCGUGCAGGAAGACGGCCCUACGGGUUGUAAACUGCUUUUGUGCCAGAAUAAACCUUAGUAUGUAUACUAAGCUGAAUGUAUGGUAAGAAUAAGGAUCGGCUAACUCCGUG